UGCAGUCGAGCGAGGUCCAUCCGGUGGCAACACCGGGGAAGACCUAGCGGCGAACGGGUGAGUAACACGUGAGCAACCUGCCCCGAAGACUGGGAUAACACCGGGAAACCGGUGCUAAUACCGGAUGCCCUCCUCUGGUCGCAUGGCCUAGGGAGGAAAGGAACCUUGCUUCGGGAGGGGCUCGCGGGCUAUCAGCUUGUUGGUGAGGUAACGGCUCACCAAGGCGACGACGGCUAGCUGGUCUGAGAGGACGACCAGCCACACUGGGACUGAGACACGGCCCAGACUCCUACGGGAGGCAGCAGUGGGGAAUCUUGCGCAAUGGGCGAAAGCCUGACGCAGCAACGCCGCGUGGGGGAUGAAGGCCCUCGGGUUGUAAACCCCUUUCAGCAGGGACGAAUCUGACGGUACCUGCAGAAGAAGCCCCGGCCAACUACGUGCCAGCAGCCGCGGUAAUACGUAGGGGGCGAGCGUUGUCCGGAUUUAUUGGGCGUAAAGAGCUCGUAGGCGGCUUGGCAAGUCGGGUGUGAAACCUCCAGGCUCAACCUGGAGACGCCACUCGAUACUGCCAUGGCUAGAGUCCGGUAGGGGACCACGGAAUUCCUGGUGUAGCGGUGAAAUGCGCAGAUAUCNNAGGAACACCGGUGGCGAAAGGCGGUGGUCUGGGCCGGCACUGACGCUGAGGAGCGAAAGCGUGGGUAGCAAACAGGAUUAGAUACCCUGGUAGUCCACGCCGUAAACGUUGGGCACUNNUGUGGGACCUUAUCAACGGGUUCCGUGCCGUAGCUAACGCAUUAAGUGCCCCGCCUGGGGAGUACGGCCGCAAGGCUAAAACUCAAAGGAAUUGACGG
Molecule: ribosomal RNA, 851 nt
Filed under: uncultured bacterium
Lineage: Bacteria
Description: bacterial SSU rRNA
Rfam family: Bacterial small subunit ribosomal RNA
Source: RNAcentral